CCGAGCGCCCGAAGUGACAGGAGGGGCACGCUUGGCGCGCGCGGGGCGUCCCGCCUUAACCGCUUCGGCGCCGGGGCGGACGACGGCGGCGCGAGGGCGGGAGCGGGGACCGCGCUGCCUGCACUCACCGGAAUGUGCACUCGCAGCGAACGCCGCUUCUGGCUCGGGUUUUUCUUCCCGCCGCUCCCGCCGGGGCUGGAAACAUCUUUUUUCUUCUUGGUGUCCAUGGCCGCGCUUCCCAUAACUUUAGCCAGAAGUUAAUUCCGGGUGCCUCGUCCUGCAGUCGCGUCCUCUCCUUCCUCGCCGGCCCCCGCGGCCGGCCUCGAGCCGCGCGCUCUUCGCGACCGUCCUUCCACCCCGAGGACACGGCGCGGGGACUUCCGCGGGGAGGGAAGGUGGCGCAGGUACCUCCGGCCGCCGCCGCCGGCAGGGAUGGCGGGCGGCGAGAGCGCGGAGUUCACGUGUCCCCUUCCUCCUCACGGGCUCAGCGAUGCAAAACCAAAGCCAAAGGCGGUCCUGGCUCCGCUGUCCCUCCGGGUUACGCGUGGCAGAGGUCUCCCGCUGGGUGACAAAGUUUUCUUCCUUUUGCAAGGCGAAGCAACAUUUUCCCCCCUCUCAGCUCCGCCCACGGACGCCCAGAGGUUCUGAGGACAUAGUGACCCCAAAAGUCCCUGGAGCGCCCCGAAUGCUGACGUCGGUCCCGCCUCUCCUCCUAAGCAGUAAAUCAGGAAGGCCACGGGAGAAGAGCGGGCCUUAACUCCUGCCCAGUCCUCCUUCCAUCAUCUGGUGUGAAAUCCCCUGCGGUCUAGGUGGUUCCUUUUUCUCCCCUGCUCUUCAGGCCAGAAUGAAGCCAGACUGGAAAAUCUUGGAGGACUCCUUGCUUGACAUAAAUUUGAAAUGCCCCGGGGCGGGGGGUGUGGGUUCAAAAAUCAAUUGGCCAACCUGGCCCUGCAAGGUGUGGAAUUUCACACUUUGACCUUUUUCUGACUGGCUGGUGGGGGAGGGGGGGACAUGAGACUGCCCAUUUAGGGCCCUUUAUUUCCCUAAAUGCUGGAAAUACUGGUUAGAAAAGGAGGGGGGGGGGGUUCCUUACCUAUGCAACCAAGGGAACCCACCCUUACCCGCUCAGAAUUCCUCCCCAAGUGUCACUUAAACUUCAUCUCUUUAGCUUCCCAUUUUUAAUCCCUAUCACAGUAAUAAUAAUUUUCCAGGGUGUGGAAAUCACUCCGUUCGACUAGAACUGAUUUGGGAAGGAAAGAUGGAGAAGGUGGGAAGGAGGGAGUUGACAGGAAGGGAAGUCUGGAAGAGCCACUAGGGAGGGAUUCAGAACCAGGAGGUCACUGUCAUUGUGUCAUUGCUGGGGCUAAAUGCCUUGCCUGGGGCCUGUCCUGGGUGAUGGGCAGUGGUUAGCAGUUCUUAUAAUAGGUACUUUGUUGGUUGCUUGGUGUAAAUACAUCCAAUCAUUCAUUAAUAAAAUUAAUUUGUUCUCUGUUUAUUUUGUUGGAGUACAGACUUCAGUGCCCAGGGAUCCGAAAUUAAAGUGUUUUACCAUCUUGCCUGCAUUUUAAGUGCCUUUGUUGUUGUUGUUUUUCCAUAUGGGACUAUUUCUGAGAUCUGGGUGUUUCUUAUAGACAGUGCCAAAAAGAAGCAUACUAGUCUCUUUUUUUUCCUUUUGAAAAGAUAUUAAAUUGAUCAUAUAUCUUCCAAUCAGUGGAGUCUUAGAAUUGAGUUUUUUGUAAUUGUUUUGCUUUGGGGGUGCCUUCUGAAACCCAUGUUCCCCUCCACCUUGCCGCACACAUGGUUAUUUUAGCCAGUAGCUAAAAGUGGCAUGCCAAGAAACAGUGUCCAUGUACUGACCCUUGCUACUGAUUGUUUCUGAACGCACUAACCUAUGACUUCUUUCUCAAAGACAACGCAAUACGAUCUGUUCAAAGCACAAUAUCAAAAUUUAAAAUAAAGAUAAGCAUUACUGAGUUUGCCUUCCGCCUGGCUCUCAUAUUGCCAAGGUCAACACCAUUACUGAUCCUGUCUUUUUGAAAAAUUCAGACUUUUUUUAGUAUAAGACAAAGUGUUUAUACACAUAGAAGUUUAUAUAGAUUAUAUAUAUAAUAAGUUCUUGUAUAUAAGGUUUAUAUAUAAUUUAUAUAAACUGUGCAUAAGUAUAAAGUUUAUUGAUAAAUUUAUAUAUGUUUGUAAUGCACUAUAUAUAUGUAGUGAAGCCAGUGCACAGGAUCUGAGUAAAGCAGAGGCUCUAAGGUCACGAAAUAUCUAUGUGAUCCUUUACAUUUUCCAGUGCCUGGCAGUUAGGCUAAGAAUUGUAAUUAAUUCUGGCUGAUGAAAUGUGAAUAGAUUAAGUGUGUGUUAUUUCUGGGCCAGGCAGUGAAGAGUUGGGAUGUCUCCCUCACUUUUCCUCUGUUGCCGUGAUCUUAGAGACCUUGUGUUCCAGACGGUGUCCAGGAAGAAAGGGUUGGACAACUGGCUUUGCACUUGAUUGAGAUGGAUUGCACUUCAUCUGUAAUGCCGGUUAACCAUAGGUCAUCCUGCCCAUGCAAUCCAACAAGUACUUUGGAUUAAGAUAAAGCUUAUUCACACAUGAUGGAAGAGGUUCCUGGAAUCUCCUGGAGAUGGACGCAGAGUUUCUCGGAGCAACCAGGAGGACCUUGUGUGAAGCACGAGGUGGCAUGUGGGGCUCGCUGCAAAUAUGAAGCCCUUGAAGAGACUCCAUGCUGGUCAGCAUCGAGGCCAGCUACCUGGUCUUGUGGCUAGGAUGCAAGCACAGCUGCUUCGGCCAGAGCUUUAAGAAGAGUCUAUAUCUCAGUAGGAUCGCUGGUUCCAAGUCCUUUUGUGAUCUUUGCAGCCUUAAGAAACUGACAAUUUGUUCUCCAAGAAUGGAGAUAGCUAGAGAAUUGUGUCAUUUUAACCACUCCCUCCUAAAAGACUGGUUUUUCA
Canis lupus familiaris (dog) is the source of this 2949-nucleotide long non-coding RNA. RefSeq lists it as uncharacterized. The transcript has 5 exons. The record is from RefSeq and is a predicted model, not a curated record. NCBI's taxonomy places the organism in Eukaryota, Metazoa, Chordata, Mammalia, Carnivora, Canidae.